GUAGGUGGCAAGCGUUGUCCGGAAUUAUUGGGCGUAAAGCGCGCGCAGGUGGGUUCUUUAAGUCUGAUGUGAAAGCCCCCGGGCUCAACCGGGGAGGGUCAUUGGAAACUGGGGAACUUGAGUGCAGGAGAGGAAAGUGGAAUUCCACGUGUAGCGGUGAAAUGCGUAGAUAUGUGGAGGAACACCAGUGGCGAAGGCGACUUUCUGGCCUGUAACUGACACUGAGGCGCGAAAGCGUGGGGAGCAAACAGGAUUAGAUACCCUGGUAGUCCACGCCGUAAACGAUGAGUGCUAAGUGUUGGGGGGUUUCCGCCCCUCAGUGCUGCAGCUAACGCAUUAAGCACUCCGCCUGGGGAGUACGGUCGCAAGGCUG
This 373-nucleotide ribosomal RNA is filed under the name uncultured organism. Its description in RNAcentral is "partial 16S ribosomal RNA". It matches the Rfam family "Bacterial small subunit ribosomal RNA", at positions 527 to 896 of the family's 1533-position model. The record is from RNAcentral.